GGUUUUUAUACGACCGCAAAAAUUGAAAAUUUUUUGGUCGUAUAUUGGUAUGACGUUGGCGUCGUCGUCGUCGUCGUCGUCGUCGUCUGGCGUCGUCCGAAGACACAUUGGUUUUCGCACUCUAACUUUAGUUUAAGUGAAUGGAUCUCCAUGAAAUUUUACCAUAAGGUUCAAUACCACGAAAGGAAGGUUGGGAUUGAUUUUGGGGGUUAUGGUACCAACAGUUAAGGAAUUAAGGGCCAAAAAGGGGCCAAAAAUAAUCAUUUUUGUAACUUCCAGACAAUAACUUGUGUGUAAGUAUAUGGAUCUCUCUGACAUUGUACCACAAGGUUCCAUAUCACAAAGGGAAGGCUGUAAUUGAUUUUGGGGGUAAUUGCCUCAAAAUUUUAGGAAUUAGGGGCCAAAAAAGGGGCAAAAAACAAGCUUUUUUCUAGUUUCAUGACAAUAACUUGUGUGUAAGUGUUUGGAUAUUUCUGAAAUUGUACUACAAGGUUCCAUAUCACAAAGGGAAAGCUGGAAUUGAGUUUGGGGGUAAUUGCCCGAAACGUUUAGGAAUUGGGGGCCAAAAAGGGGCCAAAAAUAAGCAUUUUUCUAGUUUCCAGACAAUAACUUGUGUUCAAGUGUAUGGAUCUCUCUGAAAUUGUACUGCAAGGUACCAUACCACAAAGGGAAGGCUGGGAUUGAGUUUGGGGGUGAUGAAUCAUAAGGGGGUUCAAAAAAUUUGGGGGGGGAA
Mytilus californianus (California mussel) is the source of this 733-nucleotide long non-coding RNA. RefSeq lists it as uncharacterized. The record is from RefSeq and is a predicted model, not a curated record. The transcript has 2 exons. Lineage: Eukaryota; Metazoa; Mollusca; Bivalvia; Mytilida; Mytilidae.